AUACGGAGGGUGCAAGCGUUAUCCGGAAUCAUUGGGUUUAAAGGGUCCGUAGGCGGACUAUUAAGUCAGAGGUGAAAUCCCACAGCUCAACUGUGGAACUGCCUUUGAUACUGGUAGUCUUGAGUUAUAUGGAAGUAGAUAGAAUGUGUAGUGUAGCGGUGAAAUGCAUAGAUAUUACACAGAAUACCGAUUGCGAAGGCAGUCUACUACGUAUAUACUGACGCUAUGGGACGAAAGCGUGGGGAGCGAACAGGAUUAGAAACCCGGGUAGUCC
RNAcentral lists this ribosomal RNA (274 nucleotides) under uncultured bacterium. RNAcentral's name for it is "partial 16S ribosomal RNA". It matches the Rfam family "Bacterial small subunit ribosomal RNA", at positions 523 to 796 of the family's 1533-position model. The record is from RNAcentral.